This 698-nucleotide ribosomal RNA is filed under the name Bacillus sp. U1099. RNAcentral's name for it is "bacterial SSU rRNA". It matches the Rfam family "Bacterial small subunit ribosomal RNA", at positions 119 to 803 of the family's 1533-position model. Lineage: Bacteria; Bacillati; Bacillota; Bacilli; Caryophanales; Bacillaceae. The record is from RNAcentral.
GGGUAACCUGCCUGUAAGACUGGGAUAACUCCGGGAAACCGGAGCUAAUACCGGAUAGUUCCUUGAACCGCAUGGUUCAAGGAUGAAAGACGGUUUCGGCUGUCACUUACAGAUGGACCCGCGGCGCAUUAGCUAGUUGGUGAGGUAACGGCUCACCAAGGCGACGAUGCGUAGCCGACCUGAGAGGGUGAUCGGCCACACUGGGACUGAGACACGGCCCAGACUCCUACGGGAGGCAGCAGUAGGGAAUCUUCCGCAAUGGACGAAAGUCUGACGGAGCAACGCCGCGUGAGUGAUGAAGGUUUUCGGAUCGUAAAGCUCUGUUGUUAGGGAAGAACAAGUGCAAGAGUAACUGCUUGCACCUUGACGGUACCUAACCAGAAAGCCACGGCUAACUACGUGCCAGCAGCCGCGGUAAUACGUAGGUGGCAAGCGUUGUCCGGAAUUAUUGGGCGUAAAGGGCUCGCAGGCGGUUUCUUAAGUCUGAUGUGAAAGCCCCCGGCUCAACCGGGGAGGGUCAUUGGAAACUGGGAAACUUGAGUGCAGAAGAGGAGAGUGGAAUUCCACGUGUAGCGGUGAAAUGCGUAGAGAUGUGGAGGAACACCAGUGGCGAACGCGACUCUCUGGUCUGUAACUGACGCUGAGGAGCGAAAGCGUGGGGAGCGAACAGGAUUAGAUACCCUGAUAGUCCACGCCGU